CUCUGAACCAGCCAUGCCGCGUGCAGGAAGACAGCCCUCUGGGUCGUAAACUGCUUUUAUUCGGGAAUAAACCUACUUACGUGUAAGUAGCUGAAUGUACCGAAGGAAUAAGGAUCGGCUAACUCCGUGCCAGCAGCCGCGGUAAUACGGAGGAUCCAAGCGUUAUCCGGAUUUAUUGGGUUUAAAGGGUGCGUAGGCGGCUUAUUAAGUCAGGGGUGAAAGACGGUGGCUCAACCAUCGCAGUGCCCUUGAUACUGAUGAGCUUGAAUACACUAGAGGUAGGCGGAAUGUGACAAGUAGCGGUGAAAUGCAUAGAUAUGUCACAGAACACCGAUUGCGAAGGCAGCUUACUAUGGUGUCAUUGACGCUGAGGCACGAAAGCGUGGGGAUCAAACAGGAUUAGAUACCCUGGUAGUCCACGCCCUAAACGAUGAAUACUCGCUGUUAGCGAUACACAGUUAGCGGCUAAGCGAAAGCGUUAAGUAUUCCACCUGGGGAGUACGCCCGCAAGGGUGAAACUC
This 521-nucleotide ribosomal RNA is filed under the name uncultured Pedobacter sp. RNAcentral's name for it is "bacterial SSU rRNA". It matches the Rfam family "Bacterial small subunit ribosomal RNA", at positions 381 to 902 of the family's 1533-position model. The record is from RNAcentral. Lineage: Bacteria; Pseudomonadati; Bacteroidota; Sphingobacteriia; Sphingobacteriales; Sphingobacteriaceae.